GACGAACGCUGGCGGCGUGCUUAACACAUGCAAGUCGAGCGAGCGGCGGACGGGUGAGUAAUGUAUGGGGAUCUGCCCGAUAGAGGGGGAUAACUACUGGAAACGGUGGCUAAUACCGCAUACUAUCGGAUGAACCCCUAUGGGAUUAGCUAGUAGGUGGGGUAAAGGCUCACCUAGGCGACGAUCUCUAGCUGGUCUGAGAGGAUGAUCAGCCACACUGGGACUGAGACACGGCCCAGACUCCUACGGGAGGCAGCAGUGGGGAAUAUUGCACAAUGGGCGCAAGCCUGAUGCAGCCAUGCCGCGUGUAUGAAGAAGGCCUUAGGGUUGUAAAGUACUUUCAGCGGGGAGGCGUUACCCGCAGAAGAAGCACCGGCUAACUCCGUGCCAGCAGCCGCGGUAAUAC
RNAcentral lists this ribosomal RNA (406 nucleotides) under uncultured bacterium. RNAcentral's name for it is "partial 16S ribosomal RNA". It matches the Rfam family "Bacterial small subunit ribosomal RNA", at positions 28 to 526 of the family's 1533-position model. The record is from RNAcentral.